Molecule: unclassified non-coding RNA, 2073 nt
Filed under: Hevea brasiliensis (rubber tree)
Lineage: Eukaryota; Viridiplantae; Streptophyta; Magnoliopsida; Malpighiales; Euphorbiaceae
Source: RNAcentral
CAUUACUUGUAUUCUUUCUUCUAAUACCUCCCUUGUAACACUUGGAUUACCAAUUAUGAGUCCCCCUCAAGAAUGAUAUCUUGAAAACCUCUUUGUUUUGCAAGAAGGAUCACUUCCUUACAAGCAAGGGCCUCUAAAAUCAAAGGAUCAACUAUCCCUUCAAUACGUUUGCAUGUCCAACCACAUGGCAAACCUUAAGAAUCUCUUGCUAUAGCAGUAACAAAACCAAAAUUGUGGGCAAUGUCUAAAGCACCAUUAAAUUUGACCUUAAAGGUUCCUUAAGGUGGUAGAGACCAAUCAAUCUGGAGUUGAUGGGUUCUUGUUUGUGGUGUGGGAGUUGGCUCUCCUAAGGAAAAGAAAUCACAAUGGUUGGAAGAUGCUAACCAAAUAAUGUCGUGAUAACUCUGUAAUUCACCCAUGAAAAAGAAAUUGUUUCCACUUUUCCAUAUAAACCACAAAUGGAAAACCAUCAGUUCAAUAAGAUUGUUCUCAUUAGUUAACGCCUGCAAGGAAGAAACAAUCUCCAACCAAAUAUCUACUAUUGUAUCUCCAUGAAGGGAAGCAAAACAAAGCAUCUCUUUAAGGAACUAACCUAGACCAUUUGAAAAAGAGGUGAGAGGCUAUUUCUAAGCAACUGCAGAAUGGGCACUCAGAUGGAAGAGCAGGCAAUCUUCUAUGAAUUUGGUAAUUUAUUGGUAGCUUCUCUUUAAGGAACUUCCAUAGAAAAACAGAUAGUUUAGGUGGUAGAUGAAGUUUCCAUAGGUGCCUCCAUAUAUCUUUUUACCACCAUGAGAUUCCAUCCUGCAAUCUUGCAUCUAAUUUUUGCUUUGAGUGAUUGAAGAGUCUAAGAUUUAGACUUAAAGAUAAAGGCUGGCAAGCCUAAGAACAUGUCUUGCCCCUCCACAUUAUGGACCUGAAGAAUUGAAGAGAUGGAUUGUCUAAUAUCUCUUAAUGUGUUGGCACUAAAAAAGAGAAAUGACUUAUCAAAAUUAACAUUUUGUCCACUCACCGUAGAGUACAUAUGAAGGAUAUCUUGGAUCUUUUGAGCUUCUACAGUGGAUGCCUUAGAAAAAUUUAUUGAAUCAUCAACAAACAAUAGAUGCUUAACUACAAAACUUUGGCGAGAGAUGAAAAUUUCAUGAAAAUCUGAAUUCUUUAGCUUAUAAGAUAAACCUCUCUGCACAGAAAAGAUAUAAGUAUAGAGAUAGGGGAUCUCCUUGUCUCAGGCCCCUAGUUAGCUUGAUAUAACCCAUCCAAUGCCCAUUGAUCCGUGGAGAGUAAGAGACGGAGAUAACACAAUCCAUUAUCCAUUUAAUCCACACCUUAUGAAAAUCAAAACAGAUCAACAUAUGUUUCAAAUAGUCUCACCCACACACUCAUAUGCUUUGCUAACAUCUAGCUUAAAAGCAAAACCAUAAUUCUUUCCCUUCCUUCUAGUUUUAAGGUAAUGCAUAAUCUCAUGGCUAAUUAAAAUAUUAUCAGAGAUAAGUCUUCCUUUGGUAAAAGUACUCUACUCAUCACUAAUAAUAGAACUCAUAUAAGGUUGGAGCCUAUAACUGAGGAUCUUAGCAAUAAAUUUUGUAAAAAACAUUACACAGGUCUAAGAUCCUUUAUUAUGCAUACUUGUUUGACUUUUGGUACGAGGGAAAUGACUGUAUGAUUGAAAAUUCUUAAGAGCCCUCCAUUUAAAAAACUAAAAAUGGCCUCACAGACUUCAUUGCCAAUAACAUCCCAGUAUGCUUGAAAGAAAUGACCUGUCAACACCAGGACAGAUCGAUACAAAACUUAGGCUCCUGCACAUCUUCAGCUAACAUCUCUGACUCAUAUUUCUUGGUCACCUGUAGCUUUUUGGAAUGGGAAGAAGAGAUGGCACCAGCACAGAAGGAGGCAAGAGAGGAAGAUGGCAGAAUUGCUGCAGUUGAAAAAGCAAGAUUUGGAUUGUUGGGGCGAACAAGAGCCGACAACAAAAGUAAAAGAGAAGCCAUAUAAGAGAAAUGCAAGAUUGAUCAAUUUUUGAAGGAAAUGCAAUGGUGAAGAGGUUUUUAAUAGUGUAAUUUACAUAGGGACUGUCGA